RNAcentral lists this ribosomal RNA (305 nucleotides) under uncultured bacterium. RNAcentral describes it as "bacterial SSU rRNA". It matches the Rfam family "Bacterial small subunit ribosomal RNA", at positions 334 to 654 of the family's 1533-position model. The record is from RNAcentral.
GUUCCCUACGGGACGCAGCAGUGGGGAAUAUUGGGCAAUGGGCGCAAGCCUGACCCAGCAACGCCGCGUGAAGGAAGAAGGCUUUCGGGUUGUAAACUUCUUUUAAGAGGGAAGAGCAGAAGACGGUACCUGAGGAAUAAGCCACGGCUAACUACGUGCCAGCAGCCGCGGUAAUACGAAGGUGGCAAGCGUUAUCCGGAUUUACUGGGUGUAAAGGGCGUGUAGGCGGGAAAGCAAGUCAGAUGUGAAAACCACGGGCUCAACCUGUGGCCUGCGUUUGAAACUGUUUUUCUUGAGUACUGGAG